GGUCCAGCAUGGUAUAGUGGUUUGAGCACUGGACUAUGACUCUGGAGAUCAGAGUUCAAUUCCCUGCUUGGCCA
Molecule: transfer RNA, 74 nt
Filed under: Phrynosoma platyrhinos (Desert horned lizard)
Lineage: Eukaryota; Metazoa; Chordata; Lepidosauria; Squamata; Phrynosomatidae
Description: tRNA-OTHER
Source: RNAcentral